AUGGAGCUUUGGAAGAGCCAAAACAGAUAUGUGAUGAUGCUAGAAGGGUGGGAAUUUGAAGAUGCUACCCUCUGGAACAUGAAUUCUACAGAGGCAGAAAUAGUAAGGUCUGGUCAUGGUGAUGGCUCAAUCAUCUCCAGUGAGCCCUGCAGGGCCAUGUCAAGGACAACACAAGUAGGUACGUGUUUGAAGCCUUUUUCUGCUACAGCAAAAUCUGGUCUUUCCUGA
Molecule: ribosomal RNA, 228 nt
Filed under: Triticum aestivum (bread wheat)
Lineage: Eukaryota; Viridiplantae; Streptophyta; Magnoliopsida; Poales; Poaceae
Description: partial small subunit ribosomal RNA
Source: RNAcentral